CUGAAAGUUGCAUGCCUAUUAGAAACUGGUGAAGAAAAAACCCAAGUAAAGAUGCAUGAUGUUAUCAGAAGUUUUGCUUUGUGGAUAGCAACUGAGUGUGGAUUCAACAAGGGUUUAUUUCUAGUUGAGGCCAGUAUGGGGCUCACUGCAGCACCCAUAGCUGAAAGGUGGAAGGAAGCUCAGAGAAUUUCGUUGAUGGACAAUGGAAUCACUACUCUAACAGAGUUAUCUGAGUGCCCCAAUUUAUUAACCUUACUUCUUCAAUUUAACAGUGGC
RNAcentral lists this unclassified non-coding RNA (276 nucleotides) under Hevea brasiliensis (rubber tree). The record is from RNAcentral. Lineage: Eukaryota; Viridiplantae; Streptophyta; Magnoliopsida; Malpighiales; Euphorbiaceae.